AGACUACAUGGCAUCAUCGGAGCCCAAUUCUCCCACCAAAGCAAACACGGAAUAUCCAAACACACCAGAAAAGCAAGACCUAGUUUCAAAAUCAUAUUUGAUCAUGAUGCUGGAGGACUUCAAGAAAGACAUAAAGAACUCCCUUAGAGAACAAGUAGAAGCCUACAGAGAGGAAUCGCAAAAAUACCUGAAAGAAUUCCAGGAAA
Molecule: long non-coding RNA, 206 nt
Filed under: Rattus norvegicus (Norway rat)
Lineage: Eukaryota; Metazoa; Chordata; Mammalia; Rodentia; Muridae
Description: long non-coding RNA NONRATT020249
Source: RNAcentral